This 5656-nucleotide long non-coding RNA is filed under the name Malus domestica (apple). RNAcentral's name for it is "long non-coding RNA (MDOM_LNC008628)". Lineage: Eukaryota; Viridiplantae; Streptophyta; Magnoliopsida; Rosales; Rosaceae. The record is from RNAcentral.
UCUUUGCAUAACAAAUCCUAUAAACACAAAAAUAACGUAAAUAGCUCAAAAAUAUAAGGAACUAACUAAGAAAAGACGAGUGAAUUCGAAGUAAAAAUAUAUAUAAAUAUGAUCCGAUCAGGAUCCCACACCCCUUAAUUCUUUCCCUCUUUCCCGUACCCUGUCUCUCUCUCUUCCCUCACGACUCUCUCUCACUCUCAGUUCUCUCUCUCUUCCUCUCCGACGCUCAACCUCACCCAAAACCACCUAAAACAUAAACAAACGUCCAAGGUAAGACCACAUUUGGACUCCUGGAACUUCCACGAUCACGUAGACAUCAAUUUCAGGUAAGUUCUACUUCGGAAAACGUAGUUUUAAAAGUUCCCGUGAAGAGCACUGUUCAUGAUCUUUGAAUAUGUUGUGUUUUAGGGAAAUCUAAGCUCACAGGGAGCUCUAGGAGGUUCCCACGAAGCUCGGAGUGCUUCGUUGGAAGUUUUUGGACGAAAGAACACGGAGAUCGACGAGUUCAAAGUUUGGCCGGAGCUUUCGAGGCAUUUUCCGGCGAAUCCCCGGCGAGUUAGGAGUCGAGGUAGGUAUCAAUCUCUUCGUCUCGUCAAGUACUACAACUUUCCUUUUUGUUUCACUCAAUGUCGUUGAGUAUUGAAGAAGUUAUACUCAUUUGAAAAAUACCCAGUUUCCGGCGACCUCCGAGGCUUUCGAGGCAGUUUCCGGCCAAACCACAGCGAACUAGGUGUUGUGCAAGGUACCAUUCUCUUUGUCUCUUCAAGGGCUACAACUUUCAUUUUUGAAUCACUUGAUUUCGUUGAGAAAUGACAAGUUAUGGCAAUUUGAAAAACUGCCCGGAAAAACGACCGCCGGAAAAACCAGUCCGGCGACCCAAGGAAGAAGAAGGUGCUACAGUAAAAAAUAAAAAUAAAAAUAAAAUUAUUUUAAAAAUAUGUCGACGUCCGUGACGUCGAGUAGAUCACCGUGGUAUAUUCAUAUACCCAAUUUGAGCACCGUAUGAGAAAGUUAUUAAGGAUUGUUGGUUAGGUGUUCGAAUAACGUUUUAUAGUUUUGGUGAAAAUGUGAAUUGAUGAUCCGACCGUUGGAUCGUCACCAAACUUUGAUACGUUGCAAUACGUAAUAUUUAAGGACUAUUGGAACUUAUGGAUUAGGAAUCCGAGUUACGGAUCUUCCGGAAUUGGAAUUGUAAGUCCAUAAUAUAAAAUGUUAACCGUCACUUAGUUUUGGAAAUUGACGGAGAUCCGACCGUUGGAUGGUAAUGAAAUUUUAGGAUGUUGUCCUAGAGGUAUAAUGUGGACCUCUGGAAGUUAUGGAUUUAAAAUCUGAGUGGUGGAUCUUCCGAAUCGAACUACGUAGUGACGUAUUUUAUAUAAGUUAUAUAUUUUAUCGAUAUGAAUUCUGAGCCUGGAUUUGAUUACUAUUCUAGGCGGCGAUCGUCGUGACGCCUUGAUGUGUGGUGCUAGGGAGUUGUUGGACGAACUCCAGGUGAGUGGGCAGUUUUGUUUUCCGUAUAUAUAUGUACUUGACGUUUUCCCAGAAAUUGAAUUUAACGGAAGUAUGCUUUCAAAUGCCAUGCAUAGAUUCAUAUGAAAAAUGUGAUUUGAAAUGCCAUGCAUAGAAAUGAUAUGAAAAAUAUAUAGAAAUGUGAAUCGAAUUGCCAUGCAUGAAAUGAUAUGAAAAGUAUGAAUUGAGAUAUGAUGCAUAUAUAUGAAAUGGUGCUGUGGACACACAGGUGAGUAUCAGGUGAGUAUUAUUACUGUUAUGAUGAUGUUGAGAUAUGUUGAGCUCAUAAACUGCACCUUGGUAUUAGUGCUUAUUAUUAUUCACCGCAUCGUAUGCUCACCUUGGAUCCAAGUAGAUGCUAGUCGUACAGACCACCGGGGGUGGUUCCGACAUGCCAGUCGUACAGACCAUUAGAGGGGUUCCGACUGGUAGGUGACCUUAGAUUAUGUGCACAGAUGAUUGAUGAGAAAAGCACUAGAGCAUAUUAUUACACCAUUAAGUCGUACAGAUUACAUUAGGUAAUUCCGACUUAUGUGCAGUGUAGUGCCGUACAGGUCAUACUAGGUGACUCCGGCAUGGCCGUACGGGUCACAGUUGGUGACUCCGGUUAGAUGAUAUUUUGAGCUCUAGAUUCAACCGUACAGGACCAUUGUAGGGUCCCCGGUUGAUUAUUUUCUUUCACCUGAUUUAUGUUGAUGCAUUCAUAUUAUACUGUUGAAUUUAGACAUGGCAUGGCAUAUUUGUACUGAAAAAUGUUGAGUUAAUGAAUUGAAGUAUUGAGAAUAUAUAUGUAUAUUUAUAUUUUACAUUUCUGGGAAAGUAUACAGGUUUUACGGAGAGGGGUUACAACGUUUUGAGAAAUGUUUGGAUUUGAAAAAGAAUUGUUUUACUGACCCACUCAAUUUUGGUUUUGCGCCCCUCCAGGUUCAUGAAUCACAAAGGUGUGGUGACUACGAGGAAUUCGACGGUGUUCUGACAGAUUGGACAAAAUUAGGACUCACUUUCGGGUGUAUCAACUUAGGAAUUGUAUCUUAAAGCUUCCGUACUGUGCAAAUGGUUACGUCACUCUCACGUGACGGCCAGCAUGCCCUCCUUCGGGACGGGGUGUGUCAAUUAAGGUUCUGUCCAUAAAGAAAUCCCAAAUACCACUUUUUUAGCCUAUGAGUUAAGUAUCAUAAUCACAUAAAACCAAGGACUUUGUCAAUCUUACUUGUAUUACAAGACAUCUAUUAUAGAUUGAUAGAUUGAUAUCUUUAGGAGAUCAAAUCACAAUAUCUACAUUAAUCUCCAAAAUUACAUUCCUAUUAUACGUUGUAGAUCAUUUAAGGUUGAUUUACAUUGGAAUAAAUCCAACAUUCUCCCACUUGUCUACAAAUAUAAUAUUUAUGUUUAUACUUCAGAUAGGAAAUUAAUGUCACUUUAAUGGCCAUGUAGUUGUGACAACAUCCUAUCCUUGAUACAAGUUUCUGUCAAAUAAGUCUUUCAACAUGGAACUAGCAAGGUUGUAAGGUUGACACAACCCAAAACCUUCAUAAUCACACAUGCUAAAAUCCUCAUUCACAUGAAACACCGUCAAAUUAUGAUUACAGAGAUGAACUUUAAUUACCUAAAUAUGUCUCAACUUUUAUCAUCUCAGGUCAUCUUUAAUGCAAACUUCUACUACAAUUGCAAACAAAACUUCAUAAAACAUAAUUAAUUCAACACCUACGAGCAAGAUGAAUUAACAUGUUUUUGACACUAGUUCAUAUACCAUAUCAAUUACUUUCAUGAGAAAAAUUUCAACACUUAUGAGCAAGAUGAAAAAGCCCUCACAACUAGUACAACAUAUAAAUCAUAUCAUGCCAUUGUAAGUCGAACCAAAAGAAUUAAUCCACACCUACGAGCAAGAAGAUUAAUCCUUCCGUUAUAAUUUAAAAUACAAUUUGAUUAACUUGAUAUUAAACAUAUAGUCAUCUGAUAAUUGACCAACACACAAAAAUGUGACUCCAUGAAUCCAACUGGAGAUUAAACCGAAUACAUGGAUUAAAAAAAAACCAUACAUACCUUAUAGGUCAUCUACAAAUGUAAGGUAUUACUAACAUGAAACUUAUGCUCCCACUGAUCUACCCCUGUAUUUGAAUGAAUUCUUUUAAAAUCUUUUAAAAUCCUAGUUGGCUACACCAUGUUUCUAAAGUCUUUUAAAAUCCUUUAAAAUCAUCAUUUGACUACACCCCCCUUAGUCAAUGAAUGCAUAUCACUAAAAAAUUGUCUUUCUUUAACCUUUCCUUAACACAUUAAAUGGCAUAAUCUCGAUGAAAGGUAAAACUAAGACAUUCACCCUUGUUUAUACAAAAUCAUGCAUCCAACAACCAUUUGUAUUAAUAAUUUCAUAUGUAUGCUCCCCAUGAGCCUCAAAAUUCUUUCUAAAGAUUAACAAAUAAUCAAUCAAGGCAUCCAAAUGAUUGCAAGUAAAAAUAUACACAUACACCAAGUACUCAUUCAUGCAACUUAAACAUAUUAUUGUCAUUCGAGUCAUGGCGUAAAUCCAAUUUCAUCAACCAAAACACAUAUUCAUGGAAGAUGGAAUAACACUAUAAUAGAUUCAUGCAAGUCCACUUAAUGCUCAAAACUUUAGAACAACUCCCACUAAGCUUUUAGAGUUUAUACACUUAUUGCAAAUAAGUUAAUGAGUGUGAAGCCGAAUUUUGUUUCACUAAUUCUCCCACUUGGGCAAACAUUCAUUAAUAUAUUCUUUCAAAGAUGUACCUAAACAAAAAUUGCUUUAUAUUUUAGACAUACUAAAAUCGACAUCACAACCAACAUAAAGUUGUCAAACAGAAUUUCAGUAAUGAGUUACACUUACUUUAGAAUUUAUCAUAAUUAAUUUAUAAGCAUGAUUGCUACCAAAAUUAUACAUAUCAAAAUAGACAUACUAAUCUUCAUAAUAUAAAAAUAUAGAGCCGUUUUGGAUCAAAAUAGUGGUUUAAAGUGAUGUCUCAAAAAACCAACGCAAUCUGCCAGUAAAACUGUCUAUACAAGCAUGGGUUACUAAUAAAUUCACCAUAUUUCAAUACAUGGCAAAAAAUUACGAAACUUUGCAGACACAAAGUAGACAUAUAUAUGUUGAACAUAUAAAAAAUCCAAGUCAUUUGGUGACCAUUAGACAUGUCAUUCAUCCAAUUUUAAUCAUGACAUGCAAUCUGCCAGAAAUAUUAUGUUCAUCUAGCAUGAAUCUAAACAUCUCUAAUAAAUACAAUUUCAUGUUAUUUCAAUUUCGGUGUCCAAAUGAAACUCAACUAAUCAAAUUUCAUCCUCUAAACAGACUUGUAGUUCAAAUUGAAAAUAUUUACAAGAAUUAUACUUAAACAAUGGGUACCUUAGCAAUCCUUGAUUAACCUUCAUGAGUCCAAUACUUUGCAACAACAAAUCUCAUAAGGAGACACCAAAAUAAGUCAUGAUGCAACCAAUUUCCAUGCCUUAAAACCACAACCUAUUAUGGAGCUCAUAGUGGAAACAUUUGUAACUGAUGACAUGAAGCUUUAUCCCAAUAGACUUCAUGAAACUAGAUUAAUUUACACCUAUGGGCAAGAAAAUUAAUUAGUUUCUAGUACUGGAUUAUAUGUUGUUAAUGCACAAAAUCAGUGAGGACUUUGGUACAACAUAAAAUGUUAAGUUUGUAACCUUUGCUAGGUUGCUCCGGUCAUUAGUAUGGAUAGGUAUGUAAAUGGACAAAAACAGGGAAGCAAACACAAGAUGUACGUGGUUCACCUAGAUUGGCUACGUCCACGGAGUAGAGGAGUUCUCAUUAAUUGUGAAGGGUUUACACAAGUACAUAGGUUCAAGGUCUCAUUUAUUGAGUACUAGUGAAUGAUUUAGUACAAAUGACAUUCGGAAAUAUUGUGAGAGAAUGAUCUCCUUUUAUAGACGAGAGUAUCUAGCUUUGUUCUGACUUUGACACGUGUCGUGUUGUGAUUGGCCUCUGAUGUUGACACGUGUCGCGUUAUGAUUGGCCUCUGAUGUUAAAACGUGUCGCGCUGUGAUUGGUCUCCUGGUUGGAGGGAAACUUUUGUGGAUCCUUGAUGGUAUAAUGUUGACUGGUGCUCAGUAGUUUUGGGAUUGGUCAAGUAUGGUACAAACAAUGCUCCCCUAAGUUCCCGAGUGAGGGAAG